GCCCAGGUGGUGGAACAGGUAGACACGCAGGACUUAAAAUCCUGUGGGCAGUUAAACGCCCUUGCGGGUUCGAUUCCCGCCCCGGGCA
RNAcentral lists this transfer RNA (88 nucleotides) under Bacteroidota bacterium. RNAcentral's name for it is "Bacteroidetes bacterium (groundwater metagenome) tRNA-Leu". It matches the Rfam family "tRNA". From Rfam's summary of the family: Transfer RNA (tRNA) molecules are approximately 80 nucleotides in length. Their secondary structure includes four short double-helical elements and three loops (D, anti-codon, and T loops). Lineage: Bacteria; Pseudomonadati; Bacteroidota. The record is from RNAcentral.